ACAGGACAAUGAGAAGCGGACACUGUUGCAUGCAGCUGCCUAUCUAGGAGAUGCAGAAAUUCUAGAGCUUCUCAUACUAUCAGGAGCCAGAGUAAAUGCCAAAGACAACAAGUGGCUCACUCCUCUGCACCGGGCCUUGGCUUCCUGCAGUGAGGAGGCUGUCCAGGUGUUAUUGAAACACUCUACUGACGUGAACGCCAGGGACAAGAACUGGCAAACGCCGCUCCACAUCGCUGCGGCCAAUAAGGCAGUCCGCUGUGCCGAGGCCCUGGUCCCUCUCCUCAGCAACGUGAACGUGUCAGACCGGGCCGGGCGCACGGCGCUGCACCAUGCAGCCUUCAGUGGACACCAGGAGGUUAGCAAUUAGCAUGGACAUGAUUACACACUGUAGUCUACACUUUAUACCUGUCCUAUCCCCACGUUGAGCUUACUGUGCAUCCGAUUACUUACAAUGGUUGUAUGUAGGGCUGUGACGGUAAUUGGAUAACCGUGACAUUGACGGUUUUGGAUGAAGAACGCCAU
Long non-coding RNA from Coregonus clupeaformis (lake whitefish), 522 nucleotides. RefSeq lists it as uncharacterized. NCBI's taxonomy places the organism in Eukaryota, Metazoa, Chordata, Actinopteri, Salmoniformes, Salmonidae. The record is from RefSeq and is a predicted model, not a curated record. The transcript is spliced from 3 exons.